UCCCUGGUGGUCUAGUGGUUAGGAUUUGGCGCUUUCACCGCCGCGGCCCGGGUUCGAUUCCCGGUCAGGGAG
This 72-nucleotide transfer RNA is filed under the name Salmo salar (Atlantic salmon). It matches the Rfam family "tRNA". Rfam says of the family: Transfer RNA (tRNA) molecules are approximately 80 nucleotides in length. Their secondary structure includes four short double-helical elements and three loops (D, anti-codon, and T loops). The record is from Rfam by way of RNAcentral. Lineage: Eukaryota; Metazoa; Chordata; Actinopteri; Salmoniformes; Salmonidae.